RNAcentral lists this ribosomal RNA (435 nucleotides) under uncultured bacterium. RNAcentral's name for it is "partial 16S ribosomal RNA". It matches the Rfam family "Bacterial small subunit ribosomal RNA", at positions 35 to 507 of the family's 1533-position model. The record is from RNAcentral.
GGGGGGGGGGGGGGGGGGGGGGGGGGGGUGGGGGUCGGGCGGGCGGGGCGGUAUGUGGGUGGCGGGGGGGUGGGUGGCGCGGGGGAACGUGCCUGUUGGGUCGGGACAACACAGGGCGAGUUGUGCUAAUGCCGGGUACGCCCGUACGGGGAAAGAUUGAUCGCCGAAAGAUCGGCCCGCGUCUGAUUAGCUAGUUGGUAGGGUAAUGGCCUACCAAGGCGACGAUCAGUAGCUGGUCUGAGAGGAUGAUCAGCCACAUUGGGACUGAGACACGGCCCAAACUCCUACGGGAGGCAGCAGUGGGGAAUAUUGGACAAUGGGCGAAAGCCUGAGCCAGCCAUGCCGCGUGAGUGAUGAAGGCCCUAGGGUUGUAAAGCUCUUUUGUGCGGGAAGAUAAUGACGGUACCGCAAGAAUAAGCCCCGGCUAACUUCGUG